UACGAAGGGUGCAAGCGUUACUCGGAAUUACUGGGCGUAAAGGGUGCGUAGGCGGUUUGUUAAGUCUGCUGUGAAAUCCCCGGGCUCAACCUGGGAAUGGCAGUGGAUACUGGCAAGCUAGAGUGCGGUAGAGGGUAGUGGAAUUCCCGGUGUAGCAGUGAAAUGCGUAGAGAUCGGGAGGAACACCAGUGGCGAAGGCGGCUACCUGGACCAGCACUGACACUGAAGCACGAAAGCGUGGGGAGCAAACAGG
This 253-nucleotide ribosomal RNA is filed under the name uncultured bacterium. Its description in RNAcentral is "partial 16S ribosomal RNA". It matches the Rfam family "Bacterial small subunit ribosomal RNA", at positions 524 to 776 of the family's 1533-position model. The record is from RNAcentral.